CGAAGGUGGCAAGCGUUGUUCGGAUUUACUGGGCGUACAGGGAGCGUAGGCGGUUGGAUAAGCCCUCCGUGAAAUCUCCAGGCUUAACCUGGAAAGUGCAGAGGGGACUGUUCAGCUAGAGGAUGGGAGAGGAGCGCGGAAUUCCCGGUGUAGCGGUGAAAUGCGUAGAGAUCGGGAGGAAGGCCGGUGGCGAAGGCGGCGCUCUGGAACAUUUCUGACGCUGAGGCUCGAAAGCGUGGGGAGCAAACAGUAUUAGAUACCCUGGUAGUCCACGCCUUAAACGAUGGAUACUAAGUGUCGGCGGGUUACCGCCGGUGCCGCAGCUAACGCAGUAAGUAUCCCGCCUGGGAAGUACGGCCGCAAGGUUG
Molecule: ribosomal RNA, 368 nt
Filed under: uncultured organism
Description: bacterial SSU rRNA
Rfam family: Bacterial small subunit ribosomal RNA
Source: RNAcentral